CGCCCCGAAGGGGAGCGGCAGACGGGUGAGUAACGCGUGGGAAUCUACCUUUUGCUACGGAAUAACUCAGGGAAACUUGUGCUAAUACCGUAUGUGCCCUUCGGGGGAAAGAUUUAUCGGCAAAGGAUGAGCCCGCGUUGGAUUAGCUAGUUGGUGGGGUAAAGGCCCACCAAGGCGACGAUCCAUAGCUGGUCUGAGAGGAUGAUCAGCCACACUGGGACUGAGACACGGCCCAGACUCCUACGGGAGGCAGCAGUGGGGAAUAUUGGACAAUGGGCGCAAGCCUGAUCCAGCCAUGCCGCGUGAGUGAUGAAGGCCCUAGGGUUGUAAAGCUCUUUCACCGGUGAAGAUAAUGACGGUAACCGGAGAAGAAGCCCCGGCUAACUUCGUGCCAGCAGCCGCGGUAAUACGAAGGGGGCUAGCGUUGUUCGGAUUUACUGAGCGUAAAGCGCACGUAGGCGGACUUUUAAGUCAGGGGUGAAAUCCCAGAGCUCAACUCUGGAACUGCCUUUGAUACUGGAAGUCUUGAGUAUGGUAGAGGUGAGUGGAAUUCUGAGUGUAGAGGUGACAUUCGUAGAUAUUCGGAGGAACACCAGUGGCGAAGGCGGCUCACUGGACCAUUACUGACGCUGAGGUGCGAA
This 641-nucleotide ribosomal RNA is filed under the name Ochrobactrum sp. MYb58. RNAcentral describes it as "bacterial SSU rRNA". It matches the Rfam family "Bacterial small subunit ribosomal RNA", at positions 81 to 757 of the family's 1533-position model. The record is from RNAcentral. Lineage: Bacteria; Pseudomonadati; Pseudomonadota; Alphaproteobacteria; Hyphomicrobiales; Brucellaceae.